Molecule: ribosomal RNA, 471 nt
Filed under: uncultured bacterium
Lineage: Bacteria
Description: bacterial SSU rRNA
Rfam family: Bacterial small subunit ribosomal RNA
Source: RNAcentral
AGAAAAUAGAUACCCGGGUAGUCCACGCCGUAAACGAUGGAAGCUAGCCCGUUGGUAAGCAUGCUUAUCAGUGGCGCAGCUAACGCAUUAAGCUUCCCGCCUGGGGAGUACGGUCGCAAGAUUAAAACUCAAAGGAAUUGACGGGGGCCCGGCACAAGCGGUGGAGCAUGUGGUUCAAUUCGACGCAACGCGAAGAACCUUACCAGCCCUUGACAUGUCCAGGACCGGUCGCAGAGACGCGACCUUCUCUUCGGAGCUUGGAACACAGGUGCUGCAUGGCUGUCGUCAGCUCGUGUCGUGAGAUGUUUGGGUUUAAGUUCCCGCAACGAGCGCAACCCUCGUCCUUAGUUGCCAUCAUUUAGUUGGGCACUCUAAGGAGACUGCCGGUGAUAAGCCGCGAGGAAGGUGGGGUAUGACGUCAAGUCCUCAUGGCCCUUACGGGGCUGGGCUACACACGUGCUACAAUGGCGG